Molecule: non-coding RNA, 73 nt
Organism: Marmota monax (woodchuck)
Lineage: Eukaryota; Metazoa; Chordata; Mammalia; Rodentia; Sciuridae
Source: the annotation of a RefSeq genome assembly
UGGGGAUGUGGCUCAGUGGUAGAGCAUUUGCCUGACAUGCAAGAGGCCCUGGGUUUGUUCCCCAGCACCACAA